UCAGCGGGCCGUGACUGGCGCGCUGGGAUGGGACGGACCAUCGGGGAGCGGCCCGAGCGGGAAUUCAGUGCCGUGCGCCUGGGCCGAACGU
Molecule: non-coding RNA, 91 nt
Filed under: Streptomyces collinus
Lineage: Bacteria; Bacillati; Actinomycetota; Actinomycetes; Kitasatosporales; Streptomycetaceae
Also listed under: 1 other name
Description: ZTP sequence
Rfam family: ZMP/ZTP riboswitch aptamer (pfl RNA motif)
About the family: Previously known as pfl RNA. ZMP is also known as AICAR.
Source: RNAcentral